UACAGAGGUCCCAAGCGUUGUUCGGAUUCACUGGGCGUAAAGGGUGCGCAGGUGGGUUUGCAAGUUCGAUGUGAAAGCCCCGGGCUUAACCCGGGAAUGGCAUUGGAUACUGCAGAUCUGGAGGUUCGGAGGGGGGACUGGAAUUCUUGGUGUAGCAGUGAAAUGCGUAGAUAUCAGGAGGAACACCAGUGGCGAAGGCGGUGCUCUGGGCCGGUACUGACGCUGAGGAGCGAAAGCGUGGGUAGCAAACAGG
This 253-nucleotide ribosomal RNA is filed under the name uncultured bacterium. RNAcentral describes it as "partial 16S ribosomal RNA". It matches the Rfam family "Bacterial small subunit ribosomal RNA", at positions 524 to 776 of the family's 1533-position model. The record is from RNAcentral.